UGGAUCCAGACUUUGAUCAUGGCUCAGGAUGAACGCUGGCGGCGUGCCUAAUACAUGCAAGUCGAACGAAACUUCUUUAUCACCGAGUGCUUGCACUCACCGAUAAAGAGUUGAGUGGCGAACGGGUGAGUAACACGUGGGCAACCUGCCCAAAAGAGGGGGAUAACACUUGGAAACAGGUGCUAAUACCGCAUAACCAUAGUUACCGCAUGGUAACUAUGUAAAAGGUGGCUAUGCUACCGCUUUUGGAUGGGCCCGCGGCGCAUUAGCUAGUUGGUGGGGUAAAGGCCUACCAAGGCAAUGAUGCGUAGCCGAACUGAGAGGUUGAUCGGCCACAUUGGGACUGAGACACGGCCCAAACUCCUACGGGAGGCAGCAGUAGGGAAUCUUCCACAAUGGGCGAAAGCCUGAUGGAGCAACGCCGCGUGGGUGAAGAAGGUCUUCGGAUCGUAAAACCCUGUUGUUAGAGAAGAAAGUGCGUGAGAGUAACUGUUCACGUUUCGACGGUAUCUAACCAGAAAGCCACGGCUAACUACGUGCCAGCAGCCGCGGUAAUACGUAGGUGGCAAGCGUUAUCCGGAUUUAUUGGGCGUAAAGGGAACGCAGGCGGUCUUUUAAGUCUGAUGUGAAAGCCUUCGGCUUAACCGGAGUAGUGCAUUGGAAACUGGGAGACUUGAGUGCAGAAGAGGAGAGUGGAACUCCAUGUGUAGCGGUGAAAUGCGUAGAUAUAUGGAAGAACACCAGUGGCGAAAGCGGCUCUCUGGUCUGUAACUGACGCUGAGGUUCGAAAGCGUGGGUAGCAAACAGGAUUAGAUACCCUGGUAGUCCACGCCGUAAACGAUGAAUGCUAAGUGUUGGAGGGUUUCCGCCCUUCAGUGCUGCAGCUAACGCAAUAAGCAUUCCGCCUGGGGAGUACGACCGCAAGGUUGCAACUCAAAUGAAUUGACGGA
RNAcentral lists this ribosomal RNA (950 nucleotides) under uncultured Bacillota bacterium. RNAcentral describes it as "bacterial SSU rRNA". It matches the Rfam family "Bacterial small subunit ribosomal RNA", at positions 1 to 917 of the family's 1533-position model. Lineage: Bacteria; Bacillati; Bacillota. The record is from RNAcentral.